GGCGCAAUGAAAGUGAAGGUCAGGCAUCGCACUGACUGAGGCAGGAUCCGUCCGGGUGAGCGAAGCUCUUCUUCCCUUCGCGGGUUCGUCCCGCGGGGGAGCUCGGCGGCGCACUGCCAGCCCAUCUCGGCCGCUUCCCGUCGGCGAGGUGGAGCCAGAGCGCACACGUUGGGACCCGAAAGAUGGUGAACUAUGCUCGGGCAGGACGAAGCCAGAGGAAACUCUGGUGGAGGUCCGUAGCGAUUCUGACGUGCAAAUCGAUCGUCGGACCCGAGUAUAGGGGCGAAAGACUAAUCGAACCGUCUA
Molecule: ribosomal RNA, 306 nt
Filed under: Digitipes coonoorensis
Lineage: Eukaryota; Metazoa; Arthropoda; Chilopoda; Scolopendromorpha; Scolopendridae
Description: eukaryotic LSU rRNA
Rfam family: Eukaryotic large subunit ribosomal RNA
Source: RNAcentral